This 395-nucleotide unclassified non-coding RNA is filed under the name Hevea brasiliensis (rubber tree). Lineage: Eukaryota; Viridiplantae; Streptophyta; Magnoliopsida; Malpighiales; Euphorbiaceae. The record is from RNAcentral.
UGGAUGCCAAUCUACAUGAAGUAUGUUAGUUACAAAGUUAAGAAAUGAAAAUUGGAUGAAAAAGAGCAUUGUAGAUGAACCACUUGAACCACACUACGGUUGACUGAAACACCAAAGAAUUUACGGGAUGAGAUCAGCAUUUCAAAGCUUAGAAAGCCAAAUGUAGACAUCAGAAAAAGUGAAAGUCAACAUCAACACGGUAUAAAGGCCCAUAAUUUAUGCAAAAAGCCACCCAACUACAAUUGCCCCCAUCAUAUAACAUGUCCUUUUUGAAUGGAUCUUCAUAACUCAUGUCUACAAUCCUUUGACUCAACACUUUGACCAUAACAAACAGGCACAGCUGAAGUCAAUUGGGUUGAAAGCCAGUGAACUUUUAACAGCUUGAUAGAUAAAUG